RNAcentral lists this ribosomal RNA (551 nucleotides) under uncultured Glomeromycotina. Its description in RNAcentral is "SSU rRNA". It matches the Rfam family "Eukaryotic small subunit ribosomal RNA", at positions 548 to 1098 of the family's 1831-position model. The record is from RNAcentral. Lineage: Eukaryota; Fungi; Glomeromycota.
UUGGAGGGCAAGUCUGGUGCCAGCAGCCGCGGUAAUUCCAGCUCCAAUAGCGUAUAUUAAAGUUGUUGCAGUUAAAAAGCUCGUAGUUGAAUUUCGGGAUCCAUCCGUUGGUCGGGCUUCACGGUCCGUACUGGUGUGAUGGGUUCCUACCUUCUGAAUAACCGGCAUGCCAUUAAUUUGGUGCGCCGGGGAAGCAGAACUAUUACCUUGAAAAAAUUAGAGUGCUUAAAGCAGGCAAGUGCCUGAAUAGGUUAGCAUGGAAUAAUAAAAUAGGACGGCAUGGUUCUAUUUUGUUGGUUUCUAGGAUCACCGUAAUGAUUAAUAGGGAUAGUUGGGGGCAUUAGUAUUCAAUUGUCAGAGGUGAAAUUCUUGGAUUUAUUGAAGACUAACUUCUGCGAAAGCAUUUGCCAAGGAUGUUUUCAUUAAUCAAGAACGAAAGUUAGGGGAUCGAAGACGAUCAGAUACCGUCGUAGUCUUAACCAUAAACUAUGCCGACUAGGGAUCGGACGAUGUUAAUUUUUUAAUGACUCGUUCGGCGCCUUACGGGAAAC